RNAcentral lists this ribosomal RNA (711 nucleotides) under Alteromonas sp. 35A5. RNAcentral's name for it is "bacterial SSU rRNA". It matches the Rfam family "Bacterial small subunit ribosomal RNA", at positions 202 to 902 of the family's 1533-position model. The record is from RNAcentral. Lineage: Bacteria; Pseudomonadati; Pseudomonadota; Gammaproteobacteria; Alteromonadales; Alteromonadaceae.
AACGGGGCUUCGGCUCCGGCGCAAAGAGAGGCCCAAGUGAGAUUAGCUAGUUGGUAAGGUAACGGCUUACCAAGGCGACGAUCUCUAGCUGUUCUGAGAGGAAGAUCAGCCACACUGGGACUGAGACACGGCCCAGACUCCUACGGGAGGCAGCAGUGGGGAAUAUUGCACAAUGGGGGAAACCCUGAUGCAGCCAUGCCGCGUGUGUGAAGAAGGCCUUCGGGUUGUAAAGCACUUUCAGUUGUGAGGAAAAGUUAGUAGUUAAUACCUGCUAGCCGUGACGUUAACAACAGAAGAAGCACCGGCUAACUCCGUGCCAGCAGCCGCGGUAAUACGGAGGGUGCGAGCGUUAAUCGGAAUUACUGGGCGUAAAGCGCACGCAGGCGGUUUGUUAAGCUAGAUGUGAAAGCCCCGGGCUCAACCUGGGAUGGUCAUUUAGAACUGGCAGACUAGAGUCUUGGAGAGGGGAGUGGAAUUCCAGGUGUAGCGGUGAAAUGCGUAGAUAUCUGGAGGAACAUCAGUGGCGAAGGCGACUCCCUGGCCAAAGACUGACGCUCAUGUGCGAAAGUGUGGGUAGCGAACAGGAUUAGAUACCCUGGUAGUCCACACCGUAAACGCUGUCUACUAGCUGUGUGUGUCUUUAAGACGUGCGUAGCGAAGCUAACGCGCUAAGUAGACCGCCUGGGGAGUACGGCCGCAAGGUUAAAACUC